UGCAAGGUCGUUCUGCUUACGGUC
RNAcentral lists this microRNA (24 nucleotides) under Triops cancriformis. RNAcentral describes it as "tcf-miR-10307". The record is from miRBase by way of RNAcentral. Lineage: Eukaryota; Metazoa; Arthropoda; Branchiopoda; Notostraca; Triopsidae.